GCGGCUGUGGUCUAGUCUGGUCUAGGACUUCAAGUCCCUCAAGCUGACUACCCGGGCUCAAAUCCCGGCAGCCGCACCA
Molecule: transfer RNA, 79 nt
Filed under: Candidatus Bathyarchaeota archaeon RBG_16_48_13
Lineage: Archaea; Thermoproteati; Candidatus Bathyarchaeota
Description: tRNA-Glu
Rfam family: tRNA
About the family: Transfer RNA (tRNA) molecules are approximately 80 nucleotides in length.
Source: RNAcentral